GAAAUGCGAUAAGUAAUGUGAAUUGCAGAAUUUAGUGAAUCAUCGAAUCUUUGAACGCAUAUUGCGCCCACCAGUAUUCUGGCGGGCAUGCCUGUUCGAGCGUCAUUUCAACACUCAGGUCUUAGUCGCCUGGCGUUGGGGCGCUGCGGCCCGUAUCGUCCGCAGGCCCCCAAAUUUAGCGGCGGACCGGCCUCGGCCCUGAGCGUAGUAGUUUACAUAUACAUGCCUCGCUCCGGCGGCUGUGGCGCGAUCCUGCCCACCACCUUACUCUAAAAGUUGACCUCGGAUCAGGUAGGAUUACCCGCUGAACUUAA
This 314-nucleotide unclassified non-coding RNA is filed under the name uncultured Sordariomycetes. RNAcentral describes it as "sequence contains ITS1". The stretch from base 1 to 105 matches the Rfam family "5.8S ribosomal RNA", at positions 50 to 154 of the family's 154-position model. Lineage: Eukaryota; Fungi; Ascomycota; Sordariomycetes. The record is from RNAcentral.